GGAACUCUCAUCCGGUCAAAAAGUUGGACGCCUUCAGCUUUUUGACAUUACACAUAAGAAAACAGAUAGAUCUUUUGUAACGCCCCUAACCCGAAUCCAUCACCAGAAUAGAGUUACGGAGUAUUAUUGGAGUUACGAUUUAUUUAUCAGAUAUUUUAUUUCAUCUAACGUUCAUAUUUGGAACCAAUUAAAAUCAAACAUAUUGUCCC
This 209-nucleotide long non-coding RNA is filed under the name Gossypium barbadense (sea-island cotton). RNAcentral describes it as "long non-coding RNA (GBAR_LNC005494)". The record is from RNAcentral. Lineage: Eukaryota; Viridiplantae; Streptophyta; Magnoliopsida; Malvales; Malvaceae.